GUUCCACAAGAAAAUAACUAAGGCUGUAAUUGACCAAGUGUUUGCAGAGAUAGAACUCAGUAACUUGCAGUAGUAUUUUGUACAUCGCUUUAUCAGGGUGAAAAAUUCAAGCACCCUUGUUGCUAUUCCAUGGCUUGAGCACGCCAACAACUAUGACUGCAACGAUUAUCAGAAGAAUGAUGAUGGCAAUGCACAUCCAUUUUCUUGAAUUCCUUUGUAAACUCUUUGCCUUUUGUAGAGCAGUAUUCCCUGAUUGCACAUGGUCAACUGCAGCUGAAACCUG
This 283-nucleotide unclassified non-coding RNA is filed under the name Hevea brasiliensis (rubber tree). Lineage: Eukaryota; Viridiplantae; Streptophyta; Magnoliopsida; Malpighiales; Euphorbiaceae. The record is from RNAcentral.